This 74-nucleotide transfer RNA is filed under the name Phrynosoma platyrhinos (Desert horned lizard). RNAcentral's name for it is "tRNA-OTHER". The record is from RNAcentral. Lineage: Eukaryota; Metazoa; Chordata; Lepidosauria; Squamata; Phrynosomatidae.
AGCAAGGCAUGGUGUAAUGGUUUGAGCAUUGGACUAUGAUUCUGGAGAUUAGGGUUCAAUUCCCUGCUUGGCUA